Macaca mulatta (Rhesus monkey) is the source of this 14778-nucleotide non-coding RNA. The record is from RefSeq and is a predicted model, not a curated record. Lineage: Eukaryota; Metazoa; Chordata; Mammalia; Primates; Cercopithecidae.
GUUCUGGGAUUACGGCCAUGAGCCACCACACCCAAGAACUUAAUACCAUUUUUUUUUAAAAUCAUAAUGGGCUUGUUAAAUGCUUACGUUAAUGUUUAUUUUUAAAAAUGUUAUCUGUGACCUUUCAGCUUUUCAUAGCACUUCUCGUGUGAAUAUUUUAAAAAGGCCCUUUACUCGUGGGGGAGAAGCAGUUAUCCCUUUCAGCAGAGGGAGAUGGAGGAACAGGCCCUGGUGGGUCUGAGCACAGGCAGUCACCCCAACCUUGGUGAUUGCUUAGGUCUGUUCUCCGUUCACCGUAGCGCAUCCACUCUCAUUGUCAGCUUAAAAAUAAGCUUUUUCCUCUUUCUAAUCAGAACAGUUAGUUUGUUAACCAUCACGUUAAGGUAUCGAGAAUGAUGGCUUUCAGGCCUCAGAUAUGACACAAGUAGUAAAUGCAGCUGACCCUGAACAACAUGGGUUUUGAGCUUCGAAGGAUCACUUAUGUUAAUUAUUUUCCAACCAAACCCUUACUGAAAAAACCUGGCUUUGUGGAGGGCUGACGUUUCCUACAUGCGGUUCCAUAGGGUGGCCGCGGAGUCCUGUGGAUACGUAGAUUUGGGUAAACUCGGGGGGUGUUCUGAAAUCCAUGUCCCUGUGUAUACAGAGGGACAACUGCAGCUUUUUAAAAGUUUGUGUCCUGCCUUGUCCUAAAAAGGCUCCAAGGUGGAUGCAAAAUUAUUUCAUCCUUUUGGUUUUCUUGGUGGGAUAUUGAUGUUUAUUCUUCAGUGUCUAAAAUCCUGAGUGAACAGAGUUAGUGCUUCAGGAAUAAAGCCAGUCUGGAAACACAUAUUGAGAUAUCCACCUUUUCUUCAUGGUUUCACUAAAGGCCAUGAUCCUAUUUUAUUCGGUUGAACUGUAGGAAACUGCCAAUAUUUGCUGUUUUUGGCCUACAAAAUGGCAAGUUCGUACGAUAUUAAAAACAAAGGCUCCCUGGAUGGGGAAAAUAGGAAUCGGUGAGAACCUGAAGUUGUCUGUCAUGGCCUCUGAGUCACAGGUAAAUAAACCUGCGUGAGGGGAAGUUGGCUGUACAGUAUUUUCCCUCUGUUUUGAGACUGUCAGAAAAAGGAAAGUUCCAUUGCGUUGGGUCCCUUUUCCUCACCUUUGCUGCAGAGGGGACUUGCCAUUAUUCCUCUUGUUUCCAGUGCCCAGGAGGCUGAUGCCACAUAGAAGACCUGCAGGUCGGUGGAUGUGAAACAGGCAACGGACACGCUGUGCACCUUGGGACGCAUCUGAGAAGUGCGUGCUUGCAGCAGGUCUGAGAUUCUGUGGCCAAAAACUUACCCGUGGACAUUGAGGGUGAUGCAUUUCUGCUCCAAGACGUGUGUGGACUCAGCUGGAGGGAUAGAAAGGACGUGGAGCCUCUUCCCUCCUGGCCUGGGCUUGGACCUGCUGUGUAGCCUCUCAGUGACACCAGGGCCCCCUUGUGUCACAGCGGCCUCGGGUUGCUGGCACUGCCCCAGGAUGUCCCAGGCUUCAUGAUGUCCAGGCUCCCCUGGCAUGGCGGCCUCAGAUUUCUUUGCAUCGUCUCCCUUAUCCAGAAGUGAGUGUGAACGCUGAGUUAUUCACGGGAGUCAAGAAACCACACGCAGCCCAAAGUGACGUUUGUUUCCCUGAAAUGAUUUGUGUGUGUUCACCUUAAAAUGCAACUCAGUAAAACAGGCGCUGAGCACUUUAGCUUUGUGUUCACGUGGCCUUGUUCUCCGAACCACCCGCUUUGCGGCUCCUCCGUCCUGCCCGCCUUCAUCGCGUCUUCCUUGCCCUAUGGGUUUUAUCCCGAGGACCGUGCUCUGCUGUGUGGAAUGGAGGAUCAGUGGACACUGGCUUUACCGACUCAUUUUCUGUGUAGCUCCCAGUUUCUCAAAAUCAUAAUUGUCUUGGAUUCCCUGUGAAACUGGGAGUCAGGCCUUGGGCACAGUGCUGGGUGGCCUUGGGCACAGUACUGGGGCAGGAGGGAGAGAUAAGAACAAGAAGGACGGGUUUGUCAGGGGAACGAACCCCUUGCUGAAUUCCUGUGUCUGUUUUAGGUUAAAGAUGAAUGGCCGGGUGGUGGAUGUCUCACCUGCUGUGGCUGGACCUCGCUGUGCUGAACCCUGAGCAGGGGCCCCAGCAGCUGCCUCCUGCCAGGCCGGGGCCACAGGACUGGGCUUCUGCCUCUGGGAGGGCUCGUUCCAAGGUGCAAGGGUCUACAACACUGCUGUGUGACCUAAGGGGCAUGGGGGAAGCUGGUCUGUGCUCCUUACCUGGGAGAAGCUGAGCUCACCUGGACCAGAGCCUCUGGGGAGGUAGGAAGGCAGAGGCCUGGAAUUCCUUCUUUUCCCAGACAGCAAGAAAGCUCAGUGUUGCACCUGCUCUGAGAUGCCCUCAGCAGCCAUAUAUAGUUAUUUUAACAUGAGGGAAGGUGCCACUUAACCCGGCUCUGUGGGGAGCUUUGAGGAGUCCAGGCCCUGGGCCCCGGGCUUUUUAAUAUGUUCCUUCCUGAACAAAAAACAACAAAAGAUCCCUGUGGCUGAUGCCGACUGCGUGGGGUAGGACAUGCCGAGCUUGCGUGGGGCUUGCCCCUGAGUUUUCUUGGUGCUCCUCCCAGCCCCCACGGACACCAGCCUUUGCAGGCCGAGGCUUGUCCUGUUUAGACCCUCGUUGGUGGGGUCUGUGGUCCUGGAUCGAGGGCCCAAGCACUGCUUUCAUUGUUAUAAAUGAUUCACCGGAGAUGCACGGUUGCCCCCAAACAUCUCAUGAGCAUGAGAUACAGCCAGUGUCGCCGCCCCAAGCUCAUAAUUCUAGUGGAAAGAGGAAAUUUUAAUUUUAAUGUGCUCGUGUGACUCAGAUGCAAAUAUUCAAUUCCCGUUAAACUUUCAAGACCUUGAGAACCUCUGAGGUUCCUUGGAAGCCAUUCCUUGGCCCCACGACUAACUCUCCUGUGGAAGGAGGCUGGGGUGGUCCACGGGGUCUGGGGUCCUGCUACGUUCUCCAGGAUUCCUUAGGUUUCAUCAUUAGUCCCAGCUCUUCAGCAGGUGGAGCUGAUUGACUCUGACAUUUCCAUUAUUUUGUUCUUAUGUUGCCUCAGUUAACUUAGAAUAAUGAGUAUUUACCAGAAAUAAUUGAUGGCGAGAUGGGAAUUAUUGGUGAUUCCUUGACAUAGGCAGCCUGUAUAGAUGAGCGUGUUACACGGUGUCUGAUUUCUGAGAUGUUGGUCCAAACCUUCUCAGCGACACACUUUCAGGGGUACAUUCCUGUGAAGGAGAAGCUGCUUUUCCCCGAGAAGCGGUGCCGGCCCCUGCACUGGCAUGGUAGGGUGGCUGUGUGACUGGGCAGGGCUGGAUGUGCUCCUUCCCACCCCUGCGCUGGGCGCCUGCCUCCGCCCCACAUCUGUGUAUGAGUUCGCACCCAGCUCGAACUCAUAGAAUUGUAUAGCUUCCUUGACACAUUCCUGCACAGAGAUGAUUAGAUCUGGGGGCUGAAUCUCAAUCUGACAUGCAUGUAGGUAAAUAUUCAUGUGAAUGACUUGGGUCCUCCACGUUCAGGGUCAGGAGGCGCGAGGUGGGUUUGGAGACAGCUGCCUGGCCUCAGGAAGUUUCUCUCAGAGUGUGUUUCUUUCUCUAGCAAAGUAAAUGAUGCCUACCUCACGGGGCUUGACACACGCUCAGUACUCACAUGCUGUCUGGUCUUUAUUAUAGUUGUUAUUUGGGGAACAGCGUGGCUGGUAAGAAAAUGUGUUAUCUUUACAAUUUAUAGAAUGUCAUACAAGGCAAGCGUGAAACUAAGAAUCUACCCUAAUCUGAAGAUGCUGGUGCUUACUCUUCUCCUUAAGCAUUUUGUUGUCAUUCUGGCGUGUGUCAGCCAAGUCAUCUGACGGCACCAUAUGCGUGAUGCCAGCUCGGUUACCUUGGAACGGGGAGCCUGAGGCUGCCAGGGAGCAUCUCUCCUGCCUCCAGCCCUCGGCAGUUUGUCUCUCUCUAUCCUUCCCUCUGUCCCUCCCUAUCCCCCACUCCUCCUCACCACUCCUGCUCCCCUCCCUACCCCCCUCCCUACCCCCCUCACUUACUCUACAACAGAGGCCCAGACUUUGAAAAAUCCCAGCUGGGCCUAUUUAUCGCUUGGCUGGGAAACCAGAGGGAAAGGGACCCAGUUACUACAAAAAUAGAGAAUUGAAAUAGAAUGUGAGCCACUUUUGCGUCUUGUUUUUUAUUUUAGUCUGAAUAUAAAAGGCAAGUGUCAACACAAAAUCGGUGCUAACUGAGCCACACAGCUCCAAGUCUGCCUUGUUGGGACUCCGUGGGUUCCCACGCCCUGGCCUUCUCCAUGAGCGUCUGGACACGCCGUGGCUGCGAAAGGAGCAUUCAGUUAUGGUCCUUUGAAUGUUCCAGAGUCAUGUUUAAUAAAAAUCUUCACGUUUACCCACAGCCAAGUCUUGAUUUAAUAACAGGUACUACAGGUUUCUGGGUGGGUCUGAGCCUCUGUUUUAGAAGCAGCCGCACCAUCCGAGGGGCAGGUCCGUGUGGGCUGGCAGGCGGCUUGGUCCUUGGAGCACAGGGUGGACCUGACCCAGUCCUGGCAAUGUGGGGCCUUGCAGUUCUAGAAUGUAGUGAUGCAACCUGUGACAUAAAUAAAAAGCCUCAUGUGCCCCUAUGAGAAGCUAGGGCUUCCCCUCAGUACUGUGGUGUGCUGUGUUUGUGGUCCUGCAGGUGUAAAAGGGUGAAGGAGAUACCUAAAACCAAGAUUCCAAAGACAGCCCUUCAUGUCUGGUGCUUUCAUGUGUGUAUGAACACCUUUUUGACGCGUGUACACCUUCAUGCGUGCACCUGUUUCAUGCAUGUACACCUGUUCGCGUGUGCAUGCACCUGUUUCAUGCGUGCGCCUGUUUCGCGUGUGUAUGUGCCUGGGCAUUCAUCCUGUAUUGCGUCAUACGUUGUAUUUUACAGAUUGGUUUUUUUCAGUUUGUAUCGUGAGCUUGUAACGACUUUGUGAAGAAAAGAGGGGGCCCUGGCAGCCUUUGGCUCUGAGAAACAUGAUGUCACGGGAACAGAUGAGACAGCCUGGGUGAGGCCGGCAGAGGCCAUCGUGGCCUGGGAGUCCGUGCACAUCCACUGUCUGUCGCUGUGUGACAAGUGACCCCCAAACCUAGGGGCUUAAGUCAACAUUCACGUACGACUGUACAGCUUCUUGAGGUUGCAAAUUAGGGCAGCCCUGCUGAGCGGCUCUGGCCCAGUCCCCCGGGUCACCGUGAAGAUGCUGUCCAGGGCUGCAGCCAUCUGUAGGCUCAGCUGGGCUGGAGGUUCUGCUCCAGGAUGCUGUGCUGACGUGUCUGCGGGCAGAGGCCGGGUCGGGUCCUCCACACCUGGCCCCUCCCUGGGGCUGCCAAGUGCAUUCCUGCCCAGGGCCGCUCCUUUCCCCAGAGACGUAGCAGUGCUGGUCUUAUGCCCAGCGUCAAGGUGGCCGGCUCAGGAGCAAAGACUUGUUUCCCCUACUCAGCGGCCACUCCUGCAGGGCUGGGCGACAGUGGAGGUCACGCAGGAAGGUGUUCGCUGAAGACCGUGCUCUGUGACUUGGCGGGUGUUCCUCCCAGAGAGUGAAAUGGAGACUGGACGCCGGGAGCAGCGUCCUGCGUGACCUCAUGUGUAGUGGGCUCACAGCAGAGCUAAGUCCUUCCUUUACAGAUACUUUUCAGAGUCUGCCCGCCUUUGGAUUCUCUGAUUAACAUGUCUGAGGAGGGUCGCAGGAGUCUGCCACCUGCCAGGCCAAGGAGGUUCCCAGCAUGUGGCUGUCCCCUCACACCCUGAGAAACGUGACUCGAGGGGAUCACCCGAGUUUCCUAAAUGAGUCACCUGCCUUCUCUUCUCUUUGCUUUCAUGCCUCCCCCAGGGUGGGUCAGUCCUGUCAGCCACAGCGAUACCUGCAUGCUGGGGUUCCAAGGAGAUUGGGGGUGUGUGUGGUCCCCCAGGGAGAUUCGGUGACUGAGGAUGCUGUCAUAGCAGCCAACAUGUCCUUAUUGUUUUCACUUUUAAUGAAGUUCAGUUACUAGGUUUUCUGAGGCACAAUGACGUCCUUGUGAAAAAUUGGUGAUCAGGGAAGCAAGCAAGUGUGGGAAAAUGAUCCGGCCCUUAAACCUAAAAAACGAUGAAACAGGAAAGAGCCCUGAAGAGCCCAUGAACCUCCUCAUCGGGCAGUGAGGAGACACCUCAGUAAUGGCUUAGAAUAAAAGAGAUAAUAUUGAAGAAAAGGUAAACUAAAUUUUGGGUCUCCUAUGGGUAAAGAGAUUGUGGUUUACAUUUUGGAGGCAUGCGUUUAUAUACUUAUUUAUUUUUCUUUGUUGGAUUUAGAAUUAGUUGAAAUAAUUGUGUUUUUUUAAUUAAAAAAAUUAGGCUAUACGAAGUCUAAUCCCAUUGUGAUAUUUCUGUACUGUGAGACUCCACAUACAAAAGUGAAGCCCAGACUGUCUAUCUCUAAUGAACCAGAGCGAAGUUGUCAUCUCCUGCAGGUCGGUCUGGUCUCCAGGCAUCUGGCCAUCCUCCCAGUCUUGGGCACACCUGCAUCACUGGUGCUUCCUGCCAGGCUGUGACUCUACCUAGGUUUCAGGAGCACCUGGAACAGUUUUCCUGGGGCCUCCUGCUUUGUCCUGGCUCCUGGAAGCACAGGCUAUUGAUGAAGGACUCUCCCCACUGCCAGGUAAAUUGGUGAUUGCCCCCAAGGCUGUAUUUCUCGCAUGGGGUCCAGAGAGUCCGGGCGUGGUGUCCUGGCCCUGGAGCCAGCUCUAGGACUGCACGGCGGCCUUGCCUCUGCCCAUCAUCUGGGAACAGGGCGGUGGGGAGGAGAAGGGAAGCAGGGUCUUGCCCCUUCUGCGUCUUGAGAACACGGGAACACAUUGUCCCAUUGCCUCGUACCAUUCACAGUCUAAGCUUGUCUGCAGUGUUAUUUUAUAACCUCCCCUGACAAUGAUGUAUUUUAUAUAAGCAGCACAAAAAGUGGUAAUUUAAUACCCUAUCGAGCAAGAUUAAACAAUAAGGAGCAGAUACAGCUGUAGAAAAGUUACUUUAUCCAGGAAACAUUUAUCUACUGCAGUUGGAAAUGAAUCAUGGCUUCCUCCUCAGCGGCUCCUGAUGAGCCUUUGAAAUUCUGUCCUGUUCGCCACUGUUAGUUAUAAGCUACACCUUUCCUUCUAUGAUGUUAGUUACAAGCUCUACCUUUCCUUCUAUGAUGUUUAUUUCUUGCCUGUUCACCGCUGUUACAGUUACAAGCUGUACCUUUCCUUCUGCGAUGUGUAUUUCUUGCCUCUUCACCACUGUUAGUUACAAGCUAUACCUUUUCUUCUGUGAUGUAUAUUUCUUGAAGGCAUGGACUAAAUCCUAAUUCCACGGUAUUGGAUGCACAUACUCAAGAGAUACUUGUUUGAAUGAAUGGAUUAAUGGAAAAUAGAAGUGGUGACUUCACUUUUAAUUCAUUAUGUCAAACUUUGUUUACACGGAAACUUUUAUGGUCCUUUGGAUAAACAGGGCCUCUGUGCAGGGUUGUUAGAGAUUGUGAGAGUGCCGCAAAUGGCUCUGUGGCUCUAGGCUCACAAAGGGCUUGAGGGACUUGGUGGCGGCACCUGUGUUGAAAACUGAGUUCUGCAAAUCCAUUCGAGUGACCUGCCAGCACACAAAGUCCUGCUUCCCAGUUGAUUUCUGCACAGAGGCUUCUCCUGAAUGCCCCAGGUAAACGUGGGUUUAGCCAGCACUGAUGGGCUUCCACAGCAAGGAUGAGAGAGAAGAGGGGCAGGAUCAGGAUCUUCCUGGGCCCCAGUGCCCGUGUGGGGACGCUGCCUGGCCUGGCUCUUCUGGGGGAGGUCAGGGAAAUGAUGGCAUGGAGGGACUGUUGGCACGAGCUGCUUGCUCAAACAUAGAUCCCAGGUCUGUGUGGGAGGCAAAAUAGAAAUUUAUGUGGCUAUCAUCAGUAACAUAGCAAAUAUGGGCUUCUUCCCUAGGGUGGCUGACCCUCUUGCCCAUCUGCUGAGCAAAGGCCAGGCCCGGCCUUCUGGGCCUCCACAGUGAGCUUUUCCCAAGCUCUGUCCCCUCCGUGGAGAUGGCUGGAGCCAGGGCAGACAUGGGGUGUUUGCUACUUUUUUUUUUUUUUUCUUUUUCGAGACGGAGUCUUGCUCUGUUGCCCAGGCUGGAGUGCAGUGGUGUGAUCUCGGCUCAGUGCAAGCUCCGCCUCCAGGUCAUGCCAUUCUCCUGCCUCAACCUCUCGAGUAGCUGGGACCACAGGUGUCCACCAUCACAACAGGCUAGUUUUUUGCAUUUUUAGUUGAGACAGGGCUUCACCGUGUUAGCCAGGAUGGUCUCCAUCUCCUGACCUCGUGAUCCACCCGCCUCGGCCUCCCAAAGUGCUGGGAUUACAGGCGUGAGUCACCGCACCCGGCCAGGUAUUUGUCAGUUUUUGAAAGCUACAUUUAAAGAAUGAAAUGGACGGAACAGAAUUACUUCCUUUUGAAUAUUUAAUACUUAGUCUACCAGAACACUUAAAUAUAGUUAAUGUAUUCAAAUAAUAAGAAAGAACUUUCCCUCUGUUUCCAAAGCAAAAGUAUAAACAACCUUUUACUUGGCAGGGAUUUCACUAUGUUUCUGAAAAGCCAGCAAGCACUUUUCCUGAAAUAGACCCGUCUCUUCCUCUGCAUAGACCCUAUGAACAUUUUAGCUACAUUUCUGCUGUAUCUUAAUGUGAUAGAUGAUAGAAAAUUCCUUGCUACUGGAACUUCACGAUGCUUUCCUUUUAAACAUCAAAUAGAACGUAUGGAUAGUAAAUCUCAGACUAGUUGCGAUUAUCAGUCUUGAUAGAGCUCCCACCAAGAGCCUCUGUCAGUUACAACAGAGUGUGUCUCCCCAGCAACCCGGCUUAGAUUGCAGACCGAGCCAGGCUCACCCAGGAUUCAGUGCAACGUCUUUCAAAGCUGUAGUCACUGCUCUUGGAGGAGACUUGAGAAGUCCUCCCUUUGAUGCCUGUGCAUGGCUGUUCUCAGAUCACAGCAGCUGCAGCAGCAUCUCAGAGGAUGCCAGCAGGGGUGUCCUGGGUAUUGACACCACGGUAGGGGCCUGCAGUGUCUGAAUGAAAUGGGCCGUGAAAGUGAGCACCCUAGAGGAGUCCACAGCCACGUUUCAAAGGUGCAGUGGCCCGAGGUGAACCCCAGAGCACUGAGGAGCCUGGAGUUGACCUGUCACGACUUCAUUGAGAGAGCUGACUGAAUUCCGUACCUGUGCGGGCAAAAUAUGGCUGUUUGCGCUUGGCCCCUUCUCAGUCCAGGGCUAGGGAGGUUGUCUGCACAGCUAGUGGGAGCUUAACUUUGUGCACACUCGGGGUUGGGUCCCACUCCUUUCUGUGAGCCCAGGGAAGAUAGACAUGCCGAGCUCUCCUGGAAGAGGGCCCUGACGAGUGGAAGCUGAGCUUCAAGAUGGUCGGCCUUGUGGUGUGCGUGGCGGGAUCAGAGUCGGGUGCAUGCUGAGUGGGGGCCCGGCUGCUGCUGUCGCUAUUGGGCUCAGCAGACGCUGAGGGGGACGUGGCUCCUGUUGUACUUGGUGUUUUUCUCCUCACAGGAGUGGGUUUCCCUGCGGUGAAGGUGUCGGUGCUGUGACAGGCAGCCUGGCAGGAGGAAGGCGCUCGUGGGGUUGUGCCCCGAUGUCCCCUUCCUCUUGAGGAGCAGGAAGGGGGUUUGGGAUCCUGCUUCCGGCUGCGCUCCCUUGCUAGGUUCUUGGCCUCCGGGGCCGGGAGAAGCUGAGUGCAGGCCUGAAGCCUGGACCCCUUCCAUAGCCUCCGUGGCGCUUGUGGUGCUAUGCGGGACGUGGCCCUUGGAACUCCAAGCCCUACCCUGGCAUGCCCGCCCAUUGGGGCGUCUCGGGCACCUGCUGUGUGCUAGGCUCCGUGGUGGGGUGGGCGGUAGCAAGGGCUGUGGGGUAGAGGCGACACGGUACGCGGAUGAUGAUGAGAAGCAUCAGGGAGGCAGUGAGAGCAGAGCUGCGACCUGCAAGGAGGGGACUGGCUGUGGGUGCUGGGGCUCAGGGAGCAGCCUCUACCCAGAGUCACAGCGGCCAGCGAGGGCAGAGCAGGGGACCGAGGACCAGGGAAGCCGUGUGUAUGGUUCGCAUCAGGUGUGCAGGUCUGCCGGGCUGUGAGGCCCUUCUCAGUCCUGGCUGGGCCUGGGGUCCCAGAGGGAACGGAGGGUCCUCGCAUCUCCCUCCUCUUGCUUCCCUGAUGCUUCCUGGUCAAGGGAUGUGCGUUCUCAGGCUGUACUCGGUGCUUAGGUGACAAGAACGUCUUAGAGCAACGGACUGUGUACUCCAAAGGAUGCUGUGCAUGAAUUGAGACACAGUUUACUUGUGGGGUUUAAAUUUCCUGGGUGUUGGAGGCAGUUACGGGGAGACAAGGUCUAAAAAAGCCCUUGGGGAUGAGGAAGGCAAUAAUGAAAAAGAUUACUUUAUACACACUUAGUUGAUUUAAUUUGUAGGUGAAUUUCGCAUUUUGGGAACUACUAAAGCUACUGUUUGUGGGGAUUCCUUGAUGAGCUUGUUUUCUGUCAAGUAGAAAGUAAAGUGGAUCGGUUUUGCUUUUAAUUCUGACUGACUAGAAUCUACUUCCUUUUUCACCCCAUUCACGUUAGGGUGGGGAUUGGACUAGAAGAGCUGUAGGAUCUCUUUAUUUCUGAUCUUAAAUGAAUUUUUUCUUUGCUCACUGUUUUUGUUGUUGUUGUUGUUUUUGGUGAGCUACUGUUUUUUCCUUCAAUACACUGUUCUACGGGUUGGGAAAUGUGCUCAAUUUGUACCGUGCUUUAAAUGUACACAGUGGUUCUAAAUUGCUACUUUUCGUUAAAGUUAGAUAUAACAUCUUAAUUAAAAUGUCAUCUAUAAAUCAGGCACAGUCUGAGGCCUGGAGACCCCUCUUGUCACUUCCUUCCCGCCGUGUCUCCUUCCCUGGCCACGUUGCCCCUGGCCACAUCUCCUCCCCACACCACGCCGUGUCAUCCCCCCACCAUGUCACCUCUGGUCACAUCACCUCCCUCCCCCACAUCACCUGUGGCCUCACUGCCUGCUUCCCUCCCUCCUUGGUGGCCUCCAUGGCUCCUGCUGUCUGCCCUCCUGAGAGUCUGUUCGAGGCUCCUUCCCCGUUUUCUGCUCCUAAGUGGGUCUUGGGGCCUGGAUGUUUCACAGGAUGCAAGUUUCUUCCCUUCCAGCCGCGGGUCUCUGAGCGCCAAGUCCAGAGAGUGCACUAAACUCUCCUUACCCACCUGGGGGCCCCGAGCCCUGACCGCCGACCACCAGGGCUUUUCUGCAGGGUGUGGGGCAGACUCAUGCGUGAAUUGGACUCAAAAGGUGCUUCCAGGAAUCCUUGUUUUAAGAGCACUGGGGCAGAGAUGUGGAGAGGGGACCUCCGGGUUUGCUCAGAAUUUGGCCCUGAUCACAGCCAAUGAGGCAACAUAAGCUCCUCCUAAAUGAAGCAUUCCAUAGACUGAUUUUACACAUGACAGUUGUGAUGGCUGGGAAAGGCUUCACACAAUGAGUGAGUUUGAGCUGCAUUGGAAGGAAGAACAGGUCUCUGCAGGUGGAAAUGAAAGAUAAGGGUGACCCAAGUCAUCAGCUGUAGCGGGGGGGUGGGGUGGUGCGGACUCCCCAUGGAUGGUGGGCAUCGCUGUAAUUCAGGAGAAGGCAGGGGUGCGAAGCAACAGCACAGCAGCAUUAAAAUUCCCCUGCAGAGAGGGGACUGAGAUAUUAUCACAUGUAUACAACUGAGAGAUGAUUUGAGGAUGAUUUCUGGGAGCCUAUGGGAAGAUCACGUGCUCAUCAUCAGUUCUCGGGAUCUCUUUAUGAAGUGAAAACAGUCAUGCCUCUGCCUAUCUUGUGAGCUGUUAAGAUCAAAUCGGAUAAUCUUCAGCGAGCCUUGUAAAUGCUAAAGGUUAUGACAGACUGUUCCAGCACCCUUGUCUCUACCCUCCUUUCCUCCUCGGUAACGUGAACCCUGCUGGGUACCUCACUAUCUGCCUGGCUUCCUCCUCCAUAACGUGAGCCCUGAGUACUUGCUGGGUACCUCGCUGCCUGCCGUACAGCUGGCUGUAGCCUUGUCAAACGCACUUGGCUGGCACAUAAGCAGAAGUGCUCGCCGGGCCUUGGGAGGGCUUUCUGACAUGUGGGUGCCUGCUUUUCCCUGUUAGGCUGGAGCUGCAGGAGCCCUCCUAGACCAGACAGAGGACCAAGGCUGUGGCCUCGGGGUGGGGGUUGGGGGAGCUCCCUGGGUUUAUUGUGUGGGUGAGAGCAAACUUCAGUCCCGCUGCGGCAUCGGGAUUCAGGGUUCCUUCUGGAAUGUUCUGAGUGAGAAACAGGAAGUGUGCACAGGUGCGUCUUUUGCGGAAUUUACGGUUAUCUUGAGAGAGCACUGGUGCCUCUGAGCUAUGAACCUGCAGAACCACUUCUUCCACUAACGGCCGCCUUUAUAGAAAGAAUGACUUACAAACGAUGCCACUUCAGAUGGAGGUAUUUGCAGGUGUGGCCUGAAAAAUGAACAAAAUGACUUUCAUCUCAAGGAAAGUACCUUACAUUAUUCCCAAGGAUAGACAUUUGAGCUUUCCAAUGAGUAUUAAAAUAUAAAAAUCUUGUGUCCACCACUUUCUCAUGUGACCAAUGGUGAUAUUGAUGUGUUUUUGUUUGUUUGUUUUUUGAUAUAGAACGAAAUGUGGAAGUUGCUCAUAAUUCUGAACCAGUGUUUUCUAACCAAUGUGUGAUUACAAAAUCGUGUGCUGGUAAAAGUCAUUCAAGUGCAGGACGGACCAGUUGACUCAGAAGGAAUUGGGGCAGAAAGGCACGUCGACCAGAGCGCAGACUGCGUUGCAGACAGCCUGUGCGGAAGUGCCACUUGUUACAUUUGGCAGCAGAGAAUACCUAAAAUGAUCUGAAAACACAAUGAAAAUACUGCUUCCUACUUGUAUAUCAGCAUGGGGUCGGACUUCCUUCAUAAACUUUAGCCACGGCUCUGCAGCCCACUGAAUGCAGAUGCAGGCAUGAGAACCCUGCUGUCUGAGGUGCAGAGAUGUUAGGUGUUUUCACAGCAGCACAAACUGUUGCCACGCUGCUACUUAUUUGGGAAAAUGGUUUCUUCUUGAAGACUGUGUUAAGAUGUAAUGACUUUAUCGUUGUAAAAUAAACUAAAUUGUUACCUUUUUUUUUUUUUUUUGAGACAGAUUCUUACUCUGCCACCCAGACUGGAGUGCAGUGGUGUGACCUCAUCUCACUUCAACCUCUGCCUCCUGAGUUCAAGCGGUUCUCCUGCCUCAGCCUCCCUAGUAGCUGGUACUACAGGUGUUCAGCACCAUGCCAGGCUAAUUUUUGUAUUUUAGUAGAGACGGGGUUUCACCAUGUUGGCCAGGCCGGUCUCGAACUCCUGACCUCAAAUGAUCCGCCUGCCUCUGCCUCCCAAAGUGCUGGGAUUACAGGCAUGAGCAGCCUGGGAUCAAGGUGCAGGUAGGGUUGGAUCCUCUGGGGCCUUACUCCAUGCUGUGUAGACGGCGUCCUCUCUGUGUCCUCACAGGUUUCUCUUAUGUGCGUGCAGCACUGAGGACUGUGUCUAAAUUCUCUCAAAAGAAUACCAGUCAUACUGGAUCAGGGCCUACUCUUAAGAUCUUAGGUGACCUAAAUUUCCAAGUUAAAGGCCCUGUAUCUAAAUACAGUGACAUUUUGAGUUUCCGGGGUUGUGACUUUAACAUGGGAAUCUUGAGAGGGGGGAUAGUUCAGCCCAUGACACCUUUAGGGAAGAAUCGUGGUGAAACUGCUACGUUGGAUCAGGCAAUGUUUCCUUGGCUGAGACGUUUAAAGCUAUAACAAGCAACUGAAGGGAAAAAGACGGUAUCAAAAUUAAAAAUGUUCAUUUCAGAGGAUACUAUUAAAGUAAAAAGACAACCCACAGAACAGGAUAGAUUAUCACGAUAAGGACCUGAUAUCAUGAAUAUAUUUAAAAGCUCUUAGUAAAAAUCCAAUUUAAAAAUGGACAAAGGAUUUGAAUAGACAUUCUCCAAAGAAAGACAUAUAAAUGCCUUAAAAAGCACAUGAGAUGUUUAGCAGAAUUCAUCAUCUUAGAAAUGGAAAUCAAAACCACCGUGAAAUACCACUUCACAACCACCGGAAUGGGUAAAACCCCAGUAUUGGACAGUGACAUGGUGGUGAAUUUGGGAAAAGUGAAAUCUUGAUAUAUUGCUAGUGGGAGGGGAAGUAAAAUGGUACAGUUGAUUUGGAAAAGUCUGGCAGUUCCUCAGAAAAGUUGAGCAUGAAAUCACCGUACAACCCAGCAAUUUCACUCCUAGGCAUAUGCCCAAAAAAAUUGAAAAUAUUUUGCAAGAAUCUUCAUAGCAGCAUUAUUCGUAGUAGUAGAAACAGUCCAGGUAUCUGUCAACAGGUCACUCACUGUGAGAUUCCACUCACCUUGGACGUGAAAGAUGUCAGCACCGAAGGUCACGCACUGUACGAUUCUCCUCACAACAGGUGUCCAGAAUGGGCAAAUCCAGAGAAACGGAAGUCGGCUGGCGAUUGCCAGGUGCUGGCGGAAGGAAGGAGCAGGUGCUGACUCUUAAUGGGUUCAAGGUUUCUUUGGCCCGUGGUGAAAAAGUCCCAGAAUUACAUACUAGUGGUUGAUGUACAGCUUUGAGAAUAUGCUAAAAAGACUGAAUUGUAUCCUUUAAUAUUGGGGCUUUUAUGGUUUGUAAAUUCCUUUCAAUUUCAAAAGGAACUCAAGAACUUC